This 347-nucleotide ribosomal RNA is filed under the name uncultured bacterium. RNAcentral describes it as "bacterial SSU rRNA". It matches the Rfam family "Bacterial small subunit ribosomal RNA", at positions 1 to 334 of the family's 1533-position model. The record is from RNAcentral.
CGACUACAGUCAGAGUUUGAUCCUGGCUCAGGAUGAACGCUAGCGGCAGGCUUAACACAUGCAAGUCGAGGGGCAGCGUGAUGAAACAGCAAUGUGGAUUUGAUGGCGACCGGCGCACGGGUGCGUAACGCGUAUGCAACCUACCCAUAACAGGGGGAUAACACUGAGAAAUUGGUACUAAUACCCCAUAACACUUUGGAAGGCAUCUUCUGAAGUUGAAAGUUCAGGCGGUUAUGGAUGGGCAUGCGUUGUAUUAGCUAGAUGGUGAGGUAACGGCUCACCAUGGCUACGAUACAUAGGGGGACUGAGAGGUUAACCCCCCACACUGGUACUGAGACACGGACCAG